This 73-nucleotide small RNA is filed under the name Otolemur garnettii (small-eared galago). RNAcentral's name for it is "Y RNA (ENSOGAG00000023791.2)". Lineage: Eukaryota; Metazoa; Chordata; Mammalia; Primates; Galagidae. The record is from RNAcentral.
GGCUGGUCCAAGUGCAAUGGUGUUUACAACUAAUUGAUCACAACCAGGUACAGACGCACUUGACUAGCCUGGA